CUUAAAUUGAAGAGUUUGAUCAUGGCUCAGAUUGAACGUUGGCGGCAGGCCUGAUACAUGCAAGUCGAACGGUAACAGCGGAGCUUGCUCCGGCUGACGAGUGGCGGACGGGNGAGUAACGCGUAGGAAUCUGCCCAGUAGUGGGGGAUAGCCCGGGGAAACCCGGAUUAAUACCGCAUACGCCCUACGGGGGAAAGGCCGGGAUCUUCGGACCGGUCACUAUUGGAGGAGCCUGCGUUGGAUUAGCUAGUUGGUAGGGUAAAGGCCUACCAAGGCUACGAUCCAUAGCUGGUCUGAGAGGACGAUCAGCCACACUGGAACUGAGACACGGUCCAGACUCCUACGGGAGGCAGCAGUACGGAAUAUUGUCCAAUGGGCGCAAGCCUGAGACAGCCAUGCCGCGUGUGUGAAGAAGGCCCUAGGGUUGUAAAGCACUUUCAGCAGGGAGGAAAANGGCCGGAUUAAUACCCCGGNUUUUUGACGUUACCUGCAGAAGAAGAUCCGGCUAACUCCGUGCCAGCAGCCGCGGUAAUACGGAGGGAUCGAACGUUAAUCGGAAUUACUGGGCGUAAAGCGCACGCAGGUGGUUUGUUAAGUGGGAUGUGAAAGCCCCGGGCUUAACCUGGGAACUGCAUUCCGAACUGACGAACUAGAGUACGAUAGAGGGGGGUAGAAUUCAGAGUGUAGCGGUGAAAUGCGUAGAUAUUCUGAGGAAUACCGGUGGCGAAGGCGGCCCCCUGGAUUG
This 745-nucleotide ribosomal RNA is filed under the name Deltaproteobacteria bacterium. Its description in RNAcentral is "bacterial SSU rRNA". It matches the Rfam family "Bacterial small subunit ribosomal RNA", at positions 1 to 736 of the family's 1533-position model. The record is from RNAcentral. Lineage: Bacteria; Pseudomonadati; Myxococcota; Myxococcia.